RNAcentral lists this ribosomal RNA (465 nucleotides) under uncultured bacterium. RNAcentral describes it as "partial 16S ribosomal RNA". It matches the Rfam family "Bacterial small subunit ribosomal RNA", at positions 28 to 507 of the family's 1533-position model. The record is from RNAcentral.
GACGAACGCUGGCGGCGUGCUUAACACAUGCAAGUCGAACGGAAAGGCCCCUUUGGGGGUACUCGAGUGGCGAACGGGUGAGUAACACGUGAGUAACCUGCCCUUGACUUCGGGAUAACUUCAGGAAACUGGGGCUAAUACCGGAUAGGAAUCCUUGCUGCAUGGUGGGGGUUGGAAAGCUUCGGCGGUUUUGGAUGGACUCGCGGCUUAUCAGCUUGUUGGUAGGGUAGUGGCUUACCAAGGCUUUGACGGGUAGCCGGCCUGAGAGGGCGACCGGCCACAUUGGGACUGAGAUACGGCCCAGACUCCUACGGGAGGCAGCAGUGGGGAAUAUUGCACAAUGGGCGGAAGCCUGAUGCAGCAACGCCGCGGGCGGGAUGACGGCCUUCGGGUUGUAAACCGCUUUCAGCAGGGGCGAAGCUUGUGGUGACGGUACCUGCAGAAGAAGCACCGGCUAACUACGUG